AGCUGCUGCGGUUAAAAGCUCGUAGUUGGAUCUCAGUUCCAGGCGGGUGGUGCAUCUAACCGAUGCCACAGCCCGGGCUGAACAUCAUACCUGCCGUCCCCUGGUGUCCUUCACUGGAUGCCUCUGGGUGGUAGGUGCAUUUACUUUGAAAAAAUUAGAGUGCUCAACGCAGGCGCAUUGCCUGAAUACUCAUGCAUGGAAUAAUGGAACAAGACCCCGUUUCUGUUCUGUUGGUUUUUGGAAAACGGGGUAAUGAUCAAGAGGGACAGACGGGGGCAUUCGUAUUGCGGCGCUAGAGGUGAAAUUCUUGGACCGUCGCAAGACGAACUACUGCGAAAGCAUUUGCCAAGAAUGUUUUCAUUGAUCAAGAACGAAAGUUAGAGGUUCGAAGGCGAUCAGAUACCGCCCUAGUUCUAACCAUAAACGAUGCCAACCAGCAAUCCGCGUGAGUUACUCAAAUGACUCUGCGGGCAGCUUCCGGGAAACCAAAGUAUUUGGGUUCCGGGGGAAGUAUGGUUGCAAAGCUGAAACUU
This 533-nucleotide ribosomal RNA is filed under the name Ornithodoros sonrai. Its description in RNAcentral is "SSU rRNA". It matches the Rfam family "Eukaryotic small subunit ribosomal RNA", at positions 608 to 1145 of the family's 1831-position model. The record is from RNAcentral. Lineage: Eukaryota; Metazoa; Arthropoda; Arachnida; Ixodida; Argasidae.